GACAACAAAAAUGCGUGAAACGUACGCGUCGGGCGGCUGCGUGUGGAGUGGGGGAGUAAGUGAGAGUAAAUAACCAGAAGAUAUGUACGGAAACUUGAUGGAAACGUGAGAAGCAAGUAGAGGAGAUUAAAAAAAAAGGAAAAUAAAAAGAGAGAGUGACUCUUCUUGUACUUUUACCUUAAGAUUCUUGUUUUCACACUAUCUACCGACCCUUGUUCUAAUUUUCAC
Molecule: long non-coding RNA, 228 nt
Filed under: Brassica napus (rape)
Lineage: Eukaryota; Viridiplantae; Streptophyta; Magnoliopsida; Brassicales; Brassicaceae
Description: long non-coding RNA (BNAP_LNC001185)
Source: RNAcentral